ACAGCAGUAGCCGCGGUAAUACGUAGGUGGCGAGCGUUGUCCGGAAUCAUUGGGCGUAAAGGGAGCGCAGGCGGGCAUGUAAGUCUUUCUUAAAAGUUCGGGGCUCAACCCCGUGAUGGGAAAGAAACUACAUGUCUUGAGUACAGGAGAGGAAAGCGGAAUUCCCAGUGUAGCGGUGAAAUGCGUAGAUAUUGGGAGGAACACCAGUGGCGAAGGCGGCUUUCUGGACUGCAACUGACGCUGAGGCUCGAAAGCCAGGGGAGCGAACGGGAUUAGAUACCCCCGUAGUCCCUGUCUCUUAUACA
This 305-nucleotide ribosomal RNA is filed under the name uncultured bacterium. Its description in RNAcentral is "partial 16S ribosomal RNA". It matches the Rfam family "Bacterial small subunit ribosomal RNA", at positions 506 to 809 of the family's 1533-position model. The record is from RNAcentral.